This 341-nucleotide unclassified non-coding RNA is filed under the name soil metagenome. Its description in RNAcentral is "partial contains 5.8S ribosomal RNA, internal transcribed spacer 2, and large subunit ribosomal RNA". The stretch from base 1 to 120 matches the Rfam family "5.8S ribosomal RNA", at positions 35 to 154 of the family's 154-position model. The record is from RNAcentral.
GAUGAAGAACGUAGCGAAAUGCGAUAAGUAGUGUGAAUUGCAGAAUUCAGUGAAUCAUCGAAUCUUUGAACGCACAUUGCGCCCUUUGGUAUUCCAAAGGGCAUGCCUGUUCGAGCGUCAUUUGUACCCUCAAGCUUUGCUUGGUGCUGGGCGUCUUGUCUCUAGCUUUGCUGGAGACUCGCCUUAAAGUAAUUGGCAGCCGGCCUACUGGUUUCGGAGCGCAGCACAAGUCGCACUCUCUAUCAGCAAAGGUCUAGCAUCCAUUAAGCCUUUUUUUCAACUUUUGACCUCGGAUCAGGUAGGGAUACCCGCUGAACUUAAGCAUAUCAAUAAGCGGAGGA